UGUUCCUACGGGACGCAGCAGUGGGGAAUAUUGCGCAAUGGGGGCAACCCUGACGCAGCAACGCCGCGUGAUUGAAGACGGCCUUCGGGUUGUAAAGGUCUUUAAUCGGGGACGAAUUUUGACGGUACCCGAAGAAUAAGCUCCGGCUAACUACGUGCCAGCAGCCGCGGUAAUACGUAGGGAGCAAGCGUUAUCCGGAUUUACUGGGCGUAAAGGGCGUGUAGGCGGGCAUGCAAGCCCGCAGUGAAAUCUGUGGGCUUAACCCCCAAACUGCCUUUGGAACUGCGUGUCUUGAGUGAUGGAGG
RNAcentral lists this ribosomal RNA (305 nucleotides) under uncultured bacterium. RNAcentral's name for it is "bacterial SSU rRNA". It matches the Rfam family "Bacterial small subunit ribosomal RNA", at positions 334 to 655 of the family's 1533-position model. The record is from RNAcentral.